Molecule: long non-coding RNA, 199 nt
Organism: Etheostoma cragini (Arkansas darter)
Lineage: Eukaryota; Metazoa; Chordata; Actinopteri; Perciformes; Percidae
Exons: 2
Source: RefSeq, a predicted model, not a curated record
CCCCCCCCCCCCCCCCCGAGAGACAGAAAGAGCUUCCCUGAGUCGUUUAAACCGCCGCCGCCGCACGCCGCCAGACGGUGGCGCUAACUCAUCACGUCAUCAGCGGGAAACCAGAAGAAGUGUAAAAAAAGGUUUUUGUGCUGUUGUUUUUGUUGCAUCUGCCGCCAAUAUCAUAAAAUAAAGGUUUUGUAAAAAUUGA